This is an RNA transcript of Tigriopus californicus, 1085 nucleotides long. RefSeq lists it as uncharacterized. The record is from RefSeq and is a predicted model, not a curated record. The transcript has 4 exons. NCBI's taxonomy places the organism in Eukaryota, Metazoa, Arthropoda, Copepoda, Harpacticoida, Harpacticidae.
ACUCAGAAUGUUCUAUUUGCCUCGGCCUUGGUUUCCAUUGACUGGCAGCAUGAGUCAAAGAACUGAAGAAGAUAAAAGAAUUAAGCGAAUGCUUACAGCCAACCGCCAAUUCAUGACAAAUUUACUGACCUCCUCAAAGAAGACGUCGAGUUCCUUCAACUCUGUACUAAGAUCAGCCAGUGGAGAGCAAAUCAAUUUGAUCCUGGAUGUGCUUCAUUUAGUGGCUGUUGGGAAAAUACUAGUGAAAAAAACACACUUCGAAUUGCUUGUAAAAUCCAACAAAGCCCUGCAUUUUCAUGAACGUUUGAAUAAUUCAUCAAGCUUAAACGGUACACAUACAUACUCAUCGUAUUUUCAGUACUGAUUCAUCUUGAAUUGAUAUUUGAUUUCAUUUUUAGCACUGAAAGGCGCCUCCCUUUUGGAUAAAAGUCAAUUUUUAAGGGCAUUGAGAGUACAUUUGCCCAAGUUACUGCAUCGGGUUUUCUUUCGGUGGAAGUCCUACUUGUCAGCUGGUGAAGAAUAAUGGUUGACCGUCAGAUUCAAAUUAAUUCCGGAAGUGCCCCCCAGCAAAUUAGCGUUAGUCCUAAUUUUGGGAAAAUCAACCUGCCAGCCAGAAUAUACAUAACCGGACCGUCAAUGAGUGGAAAGAGCAAACUUGUGUUGGAUAUGCUUCAGCAUCGCAAUGAAGUAUUUCGAGGUUCUUUUUCUCGAGCUAUUUAUUGUGGCCCAUCUGCUCACGACUUCGAAUUUACAUCGCUUUUGGUUCAAGCCGUCCCUUCCAUUGAACGUCAUGAUGUAAAAAGAUUACUCUUGCGACAUAUCGUUAUUUUGGGCACAAUACCAGUUGGUGUGAUCCAUUUCAGCGGGUUGUGAGGCCACAAAAUUUGGACCUAUACGCAGAAAAAUUCAGUCAAAAGCUUUUGAUCUUAGACGACUUUGGAAAUGAUGCCAUGGAAAGAAAAGGUACAAACUUGAAAACUAAUUUAGCACGAAGAUAAAAAUGUAUUGUACUCUGCAUCAGAAUUCAAGGCAUUAUUCCAAAUGGGAUCACACCAUUACAACAUUUCAGUCAUUGUCGUUGUUAA